GUGCAUGGAAUGCAUGAUUUGGGGCUCUCUUCCCUUUGUUCAGGCUUCACCUGGAACCACAAAACCCAACCAAGUCUCAGAGCAAGAUGAGAGUUGUUGUCUCUUUCUUCUCCUGCCAGGUUUCUUACCCACAUGAAAGUGAAGCAGCAAGAUGCCAAAGUAAGUCCUAAAUAUUCAAAGAACAUGAAACAAGGUAACAAAUAUAACUCUGCUGGUUUUGUUCACAUCCAUGCAGGUUAGCUGUGUCCCCACUAUGCUUACCCACGCUUCAUUUUUUUCUGUGAAGCCACGGGAAUCCAGCUUUGCCCUCUGUCUUCUGUGAUAGUAAUAGGAAAGCAACCGGAGAACCUGAUGGUGGAUUGAAGCAAAGCAAGUAACAGCUGAGCCUUGGACAAAUAAAUGGAUAUAGGCUGGAUACACAAACUCAGAUUUCAGGAAAGCUUCUAGGUACAAAAUUUUGGAAGCUGAGGUGGCUGGUCCCCCUGAAGCCUUGCCUUCUCCAGACUGGAGAGCCUCUCCUUGCAUGGCAUGUGCCCUGAGCAUCCUGCUGGCCCUCCGCUGGGCUUGCUCCUGUUUGGCAAUGACGCGCUGUGCCGAGCACUAUGGACAGACUGACUGAUGCCUGCACCGACACAUGUGCUUCCAUGUGCCUUUGGGACAAGUGAACAGGUUUUGAUACUAGAAGAAGAUGGUACCACUAGGUCAAGUAUCCCCAGAAUGCUGCUGUUGAAAGAAAAAAUAACACGACCUUGACGAACUCCAUCCACUGAAGAACAAUAUGAAUUUCCAAACUGUGUUGGUCCCACCAGUGGCUUUUUUGGGAAACCAUCCCUUUGGGUUUUCUGCCUGUAAGUAGCCUCCCUGCCCAUGCUGCCUCUCCACUGUCAGCUGCAGUCAUGGUAGACUCUUUGGCCUCAGCAGGAUGAUUUAAUCUGUUCCUCUGAAAUACAGCCAGAUGCUUCCAGUGUCACAUGGAAGAGUUUUGGAGUGGGCACAGAAAAGAGACAGAGCUAUUUGCUUGUAAUAAGUGAAUAAGAUGGAUAAGUAAACAUCUCUGCAGUGCUAGAGAGAGUAAGCACAUCCAAAAUAUUGUGUUCCAAGAGGCAACAUGAACCUUUGCCACUAGAAGCACCAUGCAUUGAAAGCCCCUUUGAUAGGAGCCAGCAAGGGCACCCAACCUCCCACAUUCACCCACUUUUCUCCUUACCUGUAGCACAGUUUAUCGCCUCAAAUUGUGCAUGGUGAUUAGCUAAGGAGAAGAGGCAGAUAGCCCUGCACCUGCUGAACUUCUGACCCUGAAAAUGUUUUAUUUACUAGCUUGAAAGCCUGAUUGCUUGGAAAAGUGUGAAGGUGAGACAUGGGGACUGUUUUCGUUGUGUUGACUUAGAAAAUAAAAGAUUGCAAGAGGAGAAACACUAAGUGUAAGUCACUGAUUUACCCCUGUCCUAUGAAAAAUGGUGCUGAUAUUUCCAGCAAUGGCCAUUUUGUGAUAUUCAGUUGGUAUCUGUAUUGGGGUGUAAGAUUAUUUGUUUCCCAGUGCUCAAGUACUAUUGUGUUUAUAAACAUCUGGGACUAGGAGCUCUCUCUUGGUUAGCGUGGCCUGUGUUCUUGCUGCUAUGGUGUUUUCUGGUUUUCCGUGUGCUUUUGAAAGAUGCAUGGAAAUUAAAGCUGCAUCUGAUUUCCUUUUAAGAGGUACUUAAGAAUGUGUUUGUGUUGGCACUGCAAUGAUGUGGACAAAAUGUACUCUAACAUAAAAAGAGAAAAUGGUGCAUUCUUCUCUAAAUUCAGAUCAAGUGAAAAACACAUCUCCAACUCAUUAGGAGUCUUACACUUGGCUUUUCUGCUAUUGUUUUGGGUCUACAAGUGUGACUAAAAUACAUGAGAAGCAGAGACAUGGUUUAUUGGUUUCCUUACUAAAUAGAGCAUGUUUUAAAAAGUCUUCAGAUAAAUUUUAAUAUAGGCCGUAAAAUAUUUAUAACUUUUAUUAAAAUCUGUUUUGUUGUCAGGGAUUUUUUUUUCUUUUCUGUGAACACCAAAGCUCACUGUGUUAUCACAUGGAUGGCAGCACAUCUAUUUUUCAGUGAUUGAUGUAACACUUUACUGGCAACUGUCAUGACUAAAUGAGUUUUAACUCUUUGUGCCAAAAUACAAUGCAUUGGAUAUCUGCCUCAGUCUGGCUUUUUUGGUCAGGGAUUGGCAAAGGGGGAGUUUUGAAAUGAAACAAUAAAGCUAUUUCAAAAUAUGAAUAAGAGGAAAAGCCUGUCCUUGACACUAUAGCUGUUUUUAUUUUAAAACAACUUUAAGGUUUACAUGCUUCAGAGAAGAGGCCUUGCAAUCUGGUAGAAGGUAGUAUUUUACAGAGGACUUGUGCUUGUCCUGUUUUUCAGGACAAUUUGUCUUGCUCGGGUCAGGCUUAUUAUAUUCACUUUACACUAAAAUCCUAUGCCCAGGAUAGUGGACAGCAAAAACCCUGGACUUUGCUCUUAAUAAACACACCUAAAUCUGAGGAAAAGAGGAAUGCUGUGAAUAAACACAGUAACAAACCCCAGAACUGCAAGGCAUACUGUUGAUAUUUGAUAAAGUGCUUGACUGCAGUGCCCAUUGUAUAAGGUCUACGCUUUGACAGCUUUUUUUUUUUUUUCUCCUAGAAAAAAGAUUAUCUACUGUGUUUCAAGCCCUUUAUCCAAGUUUUGAAAUGCUGAGAACAGGUUCCUUAAGCAGAUGCAAAGUUCAUGAAACAUCGUUUGCUGUGUACCUCUGUGAAACAUAAAUCCUAGGGCAGGUUGUUUUUCAAAUAUUACUUUCUAUUAGCUAGAUUUAUUUUUGCUUUAUUUUUUUUUUUCUAGUGUAGGAAGCUGGAAAAACUUGUGUUAAAGGGAUUUUUUUUUCCCUUCCUUCUUCUGAUAAAACAAAAUAGAAUAAGGGAGUCUGAUGUCAUCUGAAGCAGUUCAUUUAUGUAAACAAUUUAUCACUUGCUAAUAAGUAUUAACAGAUGGCAGCAUUAUUGUGCUAUCUACUCAACUUCUAACAACUGAGGAGAAUGUAUCAGCGCUUCUCUUGUCAUGAAGUUCAACUUUUUGUGUUAUGGAUAUUUUAAUACAAACUUUGUUCUCAUUGUAUUAAAUGCAUUGCAUGCAUUUAAUCAGCAUUCAACAUAAAAUAAUUUAAUACUUGGAAUUAAUAUACAUGUUCAAAUGAAAUGGAAAUACAGUUCUUAAAUAGUCCAGAUAAAAGAUAAAUUACACUACAUAUAAGCAUGAAUGCAAAGUGCUGGUGGCUUUUUAGUAAAGAGAAAUAUCCUGAUUAACACUACAUAUAAGUUUUGCUUUCCAAUUGCUGAUCUUGACAGGGUCAGUGGGCCAACACAAGUUUUUCAAGUGAGAGUUGGGAGAAAUUUUGAGAUCUGACAGUAAGCCACGUUAACUUUAUGCGACCUCUCUUGAGCAUUUAGUCCAUGUUUCAGCUUGAAAUUUAACACCUGUAGAAAAUGCAUCUCACUUAUUU
Long non-coding RNA from Columba livia (rock pigeon), 3504 nucleotides. RefSeq lists it as uncharacterized. The record is from RefSeq and is a predicted model, not a curated record. NCBI's taxonomy places the organism in Eukaryota, Metazoa, Chordata, Aves, Columbiformes, Columbidae. The transcript is spliced from 3 exons.